CCUACGGGAGGCAGCAGUGGGGAAUAUUGGGCAAUGGGCGCAAGCCUGACCCAGCAACGCCGCGUGAAGGAAGAAGGCAUUCGGGUUGUAAACUUCUUUUCUCAGGGACGAAGAAAGUGACGGUAGCUGAGGAAUAAGCCACGGCUAACUACGUGCCAGCAGCCGCGGGAAAUCGUAGGUGGCAAGCGUUCGUCGGAUUUAAUGGGUGUAAGGGGGGGGUAGGUGGGAGGGGAAGUCAGUGGGGAAAACUCAGGGCCCAAACCAAGGCCUGCAUUUGAAACUGUAUAUCUUGAGUGCUGGAGAGGCAAGCGGAAUUCCGUGUGUAGCGGUGAAAUGCGUAGAUAUACGGAGGAACACCAGUGGCGAAGGCGGAUUGCUGGACAGUAACUGACGCUGAGGCACGAAAGCGUGGGGAGCAAACAGGAUUAGAUACCCGUGUAGUC
RNAcentral lists this ribosomal RNA (443 nucleotides) under uncultured bacterium. RNAcentral describes it as "partial 16S ribosomal RNA". It matches the Rfam family "Bacterial small subunit ribosomal RNA", at positions 338 to 795 of the family's 1533-position model. The record is from RNAcentral.